UUCAGAAUCACAAUAAUAAAGUAUUCAAAUUUGAGAGAUAUACCUGCGGAAGACAUAUUGAAUACGUUCUUCAAUCACCUGGAAUAAUAGCGGCUGGAUCUUCCCUUCCUUGCUCUUCACAAAAGAUAGCCGUCAAUGGGGCAAGCUAUUAACCAUAUGGAGAGGAGAGGGGACCUAGCCUUUAUAUAGAAAAUAUAAGAGAGCCUUCCCAUUAAAGGCUCCAAAACCCUAAUUGGGUUUCGUGGCCUACAUACUAAAAUUACCACAUUAAAUAUGACUCAAUCCUAUACAUCCAAGGUGCACCAAAGCCCAUAAAACAAAAUGAUCACACAUCAUAUUGUGCUUAACCAUAGUACCAUUCUGAGCCAUACGUCUAACCCGUUUUAUAAAACAAAAAUACACAAUCAGGGUAAGCCCAUAUUUUGAAAUUAUUCUAACAUUCUCCUACUUGGGCGAACACGGAUUGUCAUAUUAAUUUAAAAACUUUGUUUUGAAAACGACUCUCGGGUUAGACUACAAAAGUGGCCACAUAUAUAGCUCAAACGAUAAUCACCUUGGA
Molecule: long non-coding RNA, 559 nt
Filed under: Phoenix dactylifera (date palm)
Lineage: Eukaryota; Viridiplantae; Streptophyta; Magnoliopsida; Arecales; Arecaceae
Description: long non-coding RNA (PDAC_LNC021600)
Source: RNAcentral